CACACCGCCCGUCACACCAGGUGGGAGUCAGUUGCUCUAGAAGUCGGUGCGCCAACCUCGUGAGGUAGCCGCCUAAAGAGUGACUGGUAACUGGGGUG
This 98-nucleotide ribosomal RNA is filed under the name uncultured bacterium. RNAcentral describes it as "partial 16S ribosomal RNA". The record is from RNAcentral.